RNAcentral lists this transfer RNA (77 nucleotides) under Candidatus Poribacteria bacterium. Its description in RNAcentral is "tRNA-Glu". It matches the Rfam family "tRNA". From Rfam's summary of the family: Transfer RNA (tRNA) molecules are approximately 80 nucleotides in length. Their secondary structure includes four short double-helical elements and three loops (D, anti-codon, and T loops). Lineage: Bacteria; Candidatus Poribacteria. The record is from RNAcentral. RNAcentral also lists the same sequence under 1 other name.
GUCCCUAUCGUCUAGCCUGGUUAGGACACGGGCCUUUCGAGCCCGCGGCACGGGUUCAAAUCCCGUUAGGGACACCA